GUUCCUGUGGCCUAGUGGUUAGAGCGUCCGCCUCUGACGCGGGAGGUUGUGGGUUUGAUGCCCGGCCAACCCAUACCAAAGACA
Molecule: non-coding RNA, 84 nt
Organism: Potamilus streckersoni
Lineage: Eukaryota; Metazoa; Mollusca; Bivalvia; Unionida; Unionidae
Source: the annotation of a GenBank genome assembly